RNAcentral lists this long non-coding RNA (687 nucleotides) under Mustela putorius furo (domestic ferret). RNAcentral's name for it is "lncRNA (ENSMPUG00000029176.1)". The record is from RNAcentral. Lineage: Eukaryota; Metazoa; Chordata; Mammalia; Carnivora; Mustelidae.
CUGCUUUUCUAGGAAUCCGUUCGUCUAAGUGAUCCGGUCUGCUGGCAGGAAGGCCCGUCUUUGACCGAUUCUGCGGGUGUCGCAACGCGAGAGAGGCGCAGGCUCCGUGUCUCCUGACGGGGCUUCGUGGCUUCUCUCCCUUCUCCUGCCUCCGUCUCUGUCCCGUUCAGGUCCCUGCUGUCUCCGCACCGAGCUUUGCCGGGGAUGGGGGGUGCUCUGGGCUCGGGGGCUCAGGCCUGGCCUCCGGAUUUGGAGAACGCAGCACGCAGACCCCGUCCCGCUUUGGGCUUCUGCCGUCUGACUCGUGGCCCUUCCAUUCGGACCGCGGCUGCUUUAGGCCUGUUUUCAAGGCCAUCAGGGGCCCGCGUGCUCCCCUCUGUUGCUGUCACACAAUGAUGCCAGGAGAAUUCUGCUGGACGGCUGGAGAGAGUAGGGGCCCCGAGCGCCUGGCAUGGGGCGGGGAUGGAGGACAGGUCGUACACGGCAAACCCGCGUCCCCGAGGGAAGCGCGACACCAACGUCCCAUGUUUUUCACACACGCACUGAUCGACUGGGAAGAGGAAUUUCUCCUGGACCGUUUUUUUUUUUUUUUUUCUAAAUGCUUGUAAUAUUUUGCUGUUACUGGAGAUCUCUAGUACUGGACUGAGAUCUAUAUAGUGUAUAUAGUAUAUACACUAUACACUAUAG